GCAGGACAAAUCAUCAGGCUUUUCAUUUUCUGCCGUAACGAGAGAUCGAUCUGGUCAUCCGGGCCGGUGCAGAUAUGUGUGUGCACGCCUGUGCCGUUGAAAUAUAAGUGCGUUAUAUUGUCAUCUUUUAUUCAUCGUUUGAGCUUUUGGACAAAUUGAUUCGAUGCAUGAAACUCAGGUAUUAGAACUAAAUGUCUUUGCGCACGUACUAGCCGUCUCUCUCUCUUCCCAAAUGUAAAUGUAAGAUGUUUGGCCUUCCAAAAUCGCCAUCUUACAAGGAAUAGAAGAAAGGGUGUAGUAUUUUUUUUUUGUGCACUGUGAUGAAUCAAAGUUUAAAUUUACCCGCAUGCAUAAUGAAACUAAAUCUCACAUCGCAAGUCUCAUUGUAUCUCUUGGCCGUCGGGUUAAUUACUUUGAUCUUGAACUAUCUACAAGUCAGCG
This 441-nucleotide long non-coding RNA is filed under the name Brachypodium distachyon (stiff brome). Its description in RNAcentral is "long non-coding RNA (BDIS_LNC002414)". The record is from RNAcentral. Lineage: Eukaryota; Viridiplantae; Streptophyta; Magnoliopsida; Poales; Poaceae.